Dasypus novemcinctus (nine-banded armadillo) is the source of this 73-nucleotide microRNA precursor. NCBI's taxonomy places the organism in Eukaryota, Metazoa, Chordata, Mammalia, Cingulata, Dasypodidae. The record is from Ensembl.
GGCACGGCUUGCCGUCGCGCACCAGCACCGGCACCGCGAUCCUGCGCGCCGGCGGCGGCGGCGGCGGGGGCAG